UGGGGAAUAUUGCACAAUGGGCGAAAGCCUGAUGCAGCGACGCCGCGUGAGGGAUGAAGGCCUUCGGGUUGUAAACCUCUUUCGGCAGGGAAGAAGCGCAAGUGACGGUACCUGCAGAAGUAGCGCCGGCUAACUACGUGCCAGCAGCCGCGGUAAUACGUAGGGCGCAAGCGUUGUCCGGAAUUAUUGGGCGUAAAGAGCUCGUAGGCGGUUUGUCGCGUCUGGUGUGAAAACUCGAGGCUCAACCUCGAGCUUGCAUCGGGUACGGGCAGACUAGAGUGCGGUAGGGGAGACUGGAAUUCCUGGUGUAGCGGUGGAAUGCGCAGAUAUCAGGAGGAACACCGAUGGCGAAGGCAGGUCUCUGGGCCGCAACUGACGCUGAGGAGCGAAAGCAUGGGGAGCGAACA
Molecule: ribosomal RNA, 407 nt
Filed under: uncultured Cellulosimicrobium sp.
Lineage: Bacteria; Bacillati; Actinomycetota; Actinomycetes; Micrococcales; Promicromonosporaceae
Description: bacterial SSU rRNA
Rfam family: Bacterial small subunit ribosomal RNA
Source: RNAcentral